UACGUAGGGUGCGAGCGUUAAUCGGAAUUACUGGGCGUAAAGCGUGCGCAGGCGGUUCGUUGUGUCGGUGGUGAAAGCCCCGGGCUUAACCUGGGAAUGGCCAUGGAAACUGGCGAACUGGAGUGUGGCAGAGGGGGGUGGAAUUCCGCGUGUAGCAGUGAAAUGCGUAGAGAUGUGGAGGAACACCGAUGGCGAAGGCAGCCCCCUGGGUCAAGACUGACGCUCAUGCACGAAAGCGUGGGGAGCAAACAGG
RNAcentral lists this ribosomal RNA (253 nucleotides) under uncultured bacterium. RNAcentral describes it as "partial 16S ribosomal RNA". It matches the Rfam family "Bacterial small subunit ribosomal RNA", at positions 524 to 776 of the family's 1533-position model. The record is from RNAcentral.